This 253-nucleotide ribosomal RNA is filed under the name uncultured bacterium. Its description in RNAcentral is "partial 16S ribosomal RNA". It matches the Rfam family "Bacterial small subunit ribosomal RNA", at positions 524 to 776 of the family's 1533-position model. The record is from RNAcentral.
UACGUAGGGCGCAAGCGUUGUCCGGAAUUAUUGGGCGUAAAGAGCUCGUAGGCGGUUUGUCGCGUCUGCUGUGAAAACCUAAGGCUCAACCUUGGGCUUGCAGUGGGUACGGGCAGACUAGAGUGCGGUAGGGGUGACUGGAAUUCCUGGUGUAGCGGUGGAAUGCGCAGAUAUCAGGAGGAACACCGAUGGCGAAGGCAGGUCACUGUGCCGCAACUGACGCUGAGGAGCGAAAGCAUGGGGAGCGAACAGG